RNAcentral lists this ribosomal RNA (442 nucleotides) under uncultured Streptococcus sp. Its description in RNAcentral is "bacterial SSU rRNA". It matches the Rfam family "Bacterial small subunit ribosomal RNA", at positions 938 to 1382 of the family's 1533-position model. Lineage: Bacteria; Bacillati; Bacillota; Bacilli; Lactobacillales; Streptococcaceae. The record is from RNAcentral.
UAUGUGGUUUAAUUCGAAGCAACGCGAAGAACCUUACCAGGGCUUGACAUACCCUUGAAGCAGCUAGAGAUAGCUGUGUCCUUCGGGACAAGGAGACAGGUGGUGCAUGGUUGUCGUCAGCUCGUGUCGUGAGAUGUUGGGUUAAGUCCCGCAACGAGCGCAACCCCUGUGGUUAGUUGCCAUCAUUCAGUUGGGCACUCUAGCGAGACUGCCGGUAAUAAACCGGAGGAAGGUGGGGAUGACGUCAAAUCAUCAUGCCCCUUAUGACCUGGGCUACACACGUGCUACAAUGGUUGGUACAACGAGUUGCGAGUCGGUGACGGCGAGCUAAUCUCUUAAAGCCAAUCUCAGUUCGGAUUGUAGGCUGCAACUCGCCUACAUGAAGUCGGAAUCGCUAGUAAUCGCGGAUCAGCACACCGCGGUGAAUACGUUCCCGGGCCUU